AGUGAACGCUGGCGGUAGGCCUAACACAUGCAAGUCGAACGGCAGCACAGGAGAGCUUGCUCUCUGGGUGGCGAGUGGCGGACGGGUGAGGAAUACAUCGGAAUCUACUUUGUCGUGGGGGAUAACGUAGGGAAACUUACGCUAAUACCGCAUACGACCUACGGGUGAAAGCAGGGGAUCUUCGGACCUUGCGCGAUUGAAUGAGCCGAUGUCGGAUUAGCUAGUUGGCGGGGUAAAGGCCCACCAAGGCGACGAUCCGUAGCUGGUCUGAGAGGAUGAUCAGCCACACUGGAACUGAGACACGGUCCAGACUCCUACGGGAGGCAGCAGUGGGGAAUAUUGGACAAUGGGCGCAAGCCUGAUCCAGCCAUACCGCGUGGGUGAAGAAGGCCUUCGGGUUGUAAAGCCCUUUUGUUGGGAAAGAAAUCCAGCCGGCUAAUACCUGGUUGGGAUGACGGUACCCAAAGAAUAAGCACCGGCUAACUUCGUGCCAGCAGCCGCGGUAAUACGAAGGGUGCAAGCGUUACUCGGAAUUACUGGGCGUAAAGCGUGCGUAGGUGGUUAUUUAAGUCCGUUGUGAAAGCCCUGGGCUCAACCUGGGAACUGCAGUGGAUACUGGAUGACUAGAAUGUGGUAGAGGGUAGCGGAAUUCCUGGUGUAGCAGUGAAAUGCGUAGAGAUCAGGAGGAACAUCCAUGGCGAAGGCAGCUACCUGGACCAGCAUUGACACUGAGGCACGAAAGCGUGGGGAGCAAACAGG
Molecule: ribosomal RNA, 759 nt
Filed under: uncultured Stenotrophomonas sp.
Lineage: Bacteria; Pseudomonadati; Pseudomonadota; Gammaproteobacteria; Lysobacterales; Lysobacteraceae
Description: bacterial SSU rRNA
Rfam family: Bacterial small subunit ribosomal RNA
Source: RNAcentral